Molecule: long non-coding RNA, 1477 nt
Organism: Odontomachus brunneus
Lineage: Eukaryota; Metazoa; Arthropoda; Insecta; Hymenoptera; Formicidae
Exons: 2
Source: RefSeq, a predicted model, not a curated record
CCCCCUGUUGUCGGCGAUCGCGCGAAGCUUCCGGAAGUGGGACACACGCUCACGAAAGUUCACAGGUCACGAAGACAACACGGUGCUAAUUAAAAGUUCCAAAACCGAUGUGCGCUCCGAAGUACGUGUGCGUGUCUGAUGCGUGCGAGGAAGGGGAUGAGAAGGAGGACGUGUGUGUAUGAGAGAGAAUGUUGAGGAGUGUGUCGAGCAUUGGGAACGGUACCGAGGCUGAUCGUGAGGCUCGCGUGGAGGCAUCCCGUGUGUACAUAUAUAUUUGGUAGCACAUCAGCACGAUGUUUUGCACAUUAUCCUUGGACAGAAAUGGAGGGAUAAAUGGAUCUUACACGAAGGAUUACUUUCUUCGUGCAAGGUCCACUUUUUCCGAUCAUGCAAAAUAACAAAUUUAUUCAUGCAUCUCUAUACGCGAUACGUAUUAUCGUCGGCUUCUGCUUACAUCGACAAAACAUUAUCAUGCUCGCGAGCCUUCGCAUCAGCGUCGGUCCAGCCACGUAUUAGUAGAAGCGGACACAUCUUUUGUACUGCUCGUCCUGUACAAUAGACAUAACAUUAUACAAGCAAGAACGCAGAAACAUAGCUAAGUGCCUACUCGUACAAACAAGAUCAAGAGGAACCACAGCCAUUGAUCUAAAAGCGAAUCUACCGAAAGCUGCGAAACCGUGCACGAGGAGGCCGAGUCCACGAUCUAAAUCGAAAGAAAGAAAACCGCCCCGCGUAAUCGUUCUACGCGCGAUAAUCCUCCGUUCUGUGCCUUUUAACACGUUUUAAAAGAGGGAAAAAAGCCACCGCCGGAUGCUGCAAUCUGUUUCACGUGCAAUGCGACGAUCUGAAAAGAGAAAUAAAUCAGUCUGUUUGCUACAGAGAAACAACACGAUGUGCGUAAUUUGCUGUCGCGAGUUCUCGAUACCCGGACUAAAUUCAACCACGGGGCGAGGGACUCUCGCGAUUUUCUUUCUUUCCCCCCUAAUCUUUGGUCUAAUCCUACGUAAAAUCGGCGAUUAAUCCGUCGAAAAAAGCUUUUCAGUUGACUGAAUCCAAAAAGAAGGAUAUAUUGAAAGUGUACGGAGAGAAUUUUAUAGUAAAAGUAUUACUGUGUAUAGAAUUUUGUAACAUCAAGGCAUAGAUCGACAUUCUGCAACAAUUUAUUAUCUCUUUCGUUUCAUGUGUACUAUUUAUAUCUUUUUUAGAAAUUUAUUUUUAUUAGAAUUUUAUUUUUAGGAACUGAAAUGCGCUAUUAAAGAAUUGACUAUGUCCCUAAAGAAAUUUACUUUGUUCCUUAGUAAGAUAGUUUUUUUAACAAUUUAUUUCCGCACACUGCUGGAAAAAUAUAGCAAAAUUGAAAAGAAUUUCUGUGAAAAAAGAACCGAAACAUAUUCUCCUCGUGUAUACAUAAAGAGAAUUUUUAGUAAAAAAUUAUAUGAUUUUUGUAAUCAAGCAAUAAAUCGACAUCAGGCACUAA